GCUUUUUUCUGGGACAGGUGCCAAUUCCAAACAAAAGACAUAAAAAGGCAAUGAGUGAGAGAUGCCUCGGACGAAAGAAAGAAAUAUGUUGCGCGAUUAAACGAAAGAGCAAGUUUGUGGAGGCCAUGUGUGCGAUUGUGCGUGGAGCGAAUGAGUGAGGAAGCUAAGAUUUAAAAUACUUUUCAUCUGUACGUUUCUCUCGUGCUCUCAAACACACUCCUCUCCUCUAGCGCUCUUCAUCCACUGAAGGCAUUUUAGUCGUGGAGGGGGGGAGAAUAGAGGAGGGGGCUCAGUUUUCAGCCUGCUGAAUUAUUCAUAUGCAUGGGCCAACGCUGCGAUCGGACUGGCUGAGACAUUCACAUGCAACGGACAUUCUGUUUGGCUGUUUGCUAACAUUCCUCAUUCAAAGACUUGUUAACUGCAAGACGGGCCGACAUACGCGUCUCUCUCACACUUGCAUAGGCCUGCUCGUCCCAGACCAGGGCAUGGUGUGCAGAUGUAUAGCCCAGUACUGGGGACAGGCAGCUGGGGUGGGAGGAUUGGCUUGGUCCCCUGGCCUACCUCCUUAUUCCUGCUGUGGACAGCUCACUGCCUGCUCUCUGUCUCUCUCUUUUUCUCCUUCUCUCUCUCUUCCUCAACACAGGGCUGGUGAAGUGAGCAGAAAAGGCCUUCAGCACUUGCCUGGAAUGUUUCUAUCUACUGGCGGCUGGCAAAAUUAUUGGAUGGCAAACUCAGGAGGUGACUGUCUACCUUCUCAUGUUGGUGACCUUGAUGGUUAUAAAAGGUCCCAGACUGAAGCUUUGGAGACAGAGGUGAUUGUUGGUGUUUGGUGCACAUCGAAGAGUGUUGACAAUAGUGCUUUCUAGUACUGACAUCACAGAAGUCAUAUUACAGUUAAUGUCUUUCCUCAGCUCUUGAUACACAGUAUCACUUCAUCCUGUCAGUUACAUGGGGAUUUGUAAGAUGUUGUGCACUGAUUGUCAUAUUAGGCAUUUUGUCAGAAAACACUAAGGUGAAGGAAAUCAAAGCCAUCAUUGCGGGAAGAGGAAAGAGAGAGACUGUCGUUUGGGGUGAGGUAGUAGGUUGUAUAGUUUGAGGGUUUAACCCUUGCUGUCAGAUAACUAUACAACUUACUGUCUUUCCCAAAGUGACCGUAAUGUCAUCGCUUGGCUCAAGACAAUAUUGACCAUGGAGGACAACGCUGACUCCAACGUUAACGUGUUGUUUAUUAAGAUACGCAUUUCUUCUUGAUGCAAGCAUAAAUUUUACAUUUACAAAAUCACAUUUUCAUCUCACCCAUACCGUAAAAAAGUUUUCCCAACAAACUGUCAGUAAUUACAAUAAAAUCUGGAAAUUUUCUAUAAAAACACAUCAGUUUAGUGUAACUUUUCUGCACACUUCAAGCCUUUGAAUUGGUCAGAUAUUUACAUGGAUCCAGUUAGAGGACAGUACUACAAAAUCUUCUUCUGAGUUCCAGAUAAAUUCUUCUUUUAGAACAAUAGAGUCAGUGUUAUAAACAUAAAAUAUAAAAUCUAUACAUUUUAAAUGUGACCUGGAUCAAAGACUAUGGGCUAAUAAAAUGUCAUUCUAAAAAUGUUGUUUUAUUUUAAUGUAUAAAAUCCCCACUGAUUCUAACAUGAUAGAUUGCAAGUGGAUAUUCAGCAGUGAUGUUCGUACAGGGUGAGGUAGUAGGUUGUGUGGUUUCAGGGUUGUGAUUUUGCCCCAUCAGGAGAUAACUAUACAACCUACUGCCUUCCCUGAAGGGCAGCAAAACACCGCGAGACAUCCUCAGUUCAAUGAGUGAUUUCUUUUACUAAGCUUUUUUCCCAAUCUUCCACUUAUGAUUUUGAGCUUGCCAUUUCAUACAGCACAUACCUUGAUUUCAUCACUUACAUCACAUGCAUUGAUCACAUACAGCACAGGUCUCUGAUACUAUGAACUUGAAUAAAAAGAGUUUGAAAAUUCAAAAUCUGCCUGUUUUCACUUUUCUUUAUUUCUCUCACAUGCAUGUUACAUUUAAAUAAUGCUAUAAUGAUUAUACCCUAAAAUUAUGUUAUACCCUGUUACAUAUCAGCAUGAAUAAAGAUAGUCUCUUGUCUCCUGAAUGUAAGGACGAAGCUGGA
This is a long non-coding RNA of Myxocyprinus asiaticus (Chinese sucker), 2123 nucleotides long. RefSeq lists it as uncharacterized. NCBI's taxonomy places the organism in Eukaryota, Metazoa, Chordata, Actinopteri, Cypriniformes, Catostomidae. The transcript has 2 exons. The record is from RefSeq and is a predicted model, not a curated record.